CACAAAUCCCCAGUGGAGUUUCCCAUCUACUCCAAAUUAUCUCUAAAAACAAAAUGGCGUAGAGCGGUGGAGACCGUGGUGUUAGCGACAACAAAAAAACAACAUCCACGGGACCCGUACAAACGACCGAUGGACAACACCCGGGACAUUAGCGUUUACUGAUGAUUUGUGGCGGCUUGGAUGUCUUUCGUCUUUCUCUCCAGCUUCCAGACAAGAUCUUCCCCUGACAGUGCAACAUCUGAACAUGUCCAUAAUUUGACAAAGAUGCAAACUAAAUGAGUGCCAGACUGCCAGGUGUGGGGGAACUGUCCUGCGAACCACAGGUCUCCUGUGUGAGACAGGUCUGGAUUUAGGGCAUCAUCACCCAAAAGUCAAGCUCCACAGCUGUUGAAACCAGAGCUGGAUCAAAGUCUGUGUCAACAUCAAUGGAUCAAGAUAUCAACCUCCUCCUCUCUUUAGUGAAGAGAGGACCGCUCUGGAAAUGUGUGGGUUACAGGAGAGACUGGCUACCACCUCUGUCUGUCUCUUCACCCCUCACCUAGCUGUCUGUCUCUUCACCCCUCACCUAGCUGUCUGUCUCUUCACCCCUCACCUAGCUGUCUGUCUGUCUCUUCACCCCUCACCGUCUGUCUCCUCACCCCUCUCCUCACCUAGCUGUCUCUCCUCUCUCCUCUCCUCACCUAGCUGUCUCCUUUCCACCGCUCCUUAUAGCCAAUGAUGAUGAUAACUGUAAGGUCAGGGACCGUAUCCACAAAGUGUCUCUAAGUAGGGAGUGCUGAUCUAGCAUCAGUUUGAGUUUUAGAUCAGAAUGAAUCAGAUUGUAUAGACGGAUCCUAGAUCAGAUUGUAUAGACUGAUCCUAGAUCAGCGUUCUUACUCUCCACCACUCCUUGUAGCCAAUCCUGAUGAUAUAUUUGAAGUUUGAUCCAAUUUCUUUCAUAACUAGGGGGUCAAACAGAAAUUGUGUCGUCUUACUGCCCAAUUUGACCUCUACUCUUCUGUUGUCUGAACCAAGGCAAUUCACCAUUUUAUAAUCAAUGUAUCUAGCUAUAGAUCUAGAUGUACUGGGAUCAGUGGUUUGUUGUUUUUCCUGAAUGCCCUUAUCCCCAACCUUUUACAAACGGAGUAAAACUUUUAGUAGACACUGUAGCAAAGAUCUGGUAUAGCUCCUGUAGUCUCAGACACUACAGCCACAGAGUAAAGUUUUGUCUAAGUAUUAUGCAAUAUUCUGAGACACUCAUCUGGCUCUGUGAGAUUUAGAUUAGCAAUCCACAUGAUAGUUGAAAGAUGGAAAUAUCUCUCUACCUCAUUGACAUGUUUGGCACCAUGACAAGUUGGUGUUUUUCUACAUGAUGGAAACGCUGUAGAGGCCAACAGCAGAACACUAGUGCCCGUCCUACAGAGCUAGGCUAAUGAAUAUCAUAUGCCUUCCCUUAGACUUCACGUCAUAUAAAGUACGUACCAUAAAACCUACUGUGCCAAAAUUUACAGGACACAAUUCAUACUUCGUUCACCCCCCCCCCCCCCCCAUUUUUCCAGAAUUAUUUCAAUAACCUUACCAACGGUGUAUGAAUGAUACAAAUCAGAUCAGGGUAGAUGUAGUUAGUUAGGGCCAAUCACUAUGUUUUGUGCCCUCAUAAUAACCUUUUUUUUUUUUUUUUUUUGAUUUGAUUAUGACCUGUUUUGGUUAAAACAUUUGUGAUCCACCUUCCUUCCGGGAUCUGUGCAAUAUGUUAUCUCAUUACCUGUCUUGUUUAUCUAAUAUGUAUAUUGUAUGAACAAGUGAACAAGUUGUUUUGAAAACAACAAAAUCACCAACGUCUUCCAUUUUUAAGAAACAUUGUAGUCUUCAUAUAUAUAGAGGGAUUGUGGUGCCCAAUAUAACUAGCCAUGCAUGAAAAGUAGCUAGUGAUGCUUGCUUACUAAGAGAAUUCUAGAGAGAAUGAUUUCUAAAAACAGACAGAACACAUUUGGCUACUAACUGGGAGAUUGAAUUGAAAAUAUCUAUUCAGACUGAGAGAGAAAAAAAAAUGGUAUAACAUCUAUUUUCUAAACUGUGUUCUAUAGAAUGAACACUUAGGAAUCAGACAUGAAGCAUUGACAUCCAGUGGGUUAGUCAUUGACCAAUAAAAUACCAAUGUCUGAACUCUUCUAUGGAUGGACAGAUUAAAAGGAAUGUGUCACGAGAAUUUUCAAUCCGAAUGAUAACUAACAAUUAUUUAAUAUACCCGUAGAAGGAUACCUCAGUCUGGAAUGCAAACUUUUUUGUUCAGAAUAUAUUUAGUAAAAAGCAAGCCAUAACAUGUAUUUGAUUAGACAUUUUUAGAAGCAAUAACAAUUAUGCAUGAUUUGUGUAUUUUUUAAAAAAAUCUGUUUUUUAAAGGAAUUUUUAGGAUAUUAUUAGCUAUAAAUCAACAUUUUGUUUAGAGGGAAGUGUAUUAAAUAUACUCCUGCUUCAGAAUACAGUAUGUUCUAAGGAAGAACCAGCUGGACAUAAAGUACCACACAGAAACAAAGGGAGGCAGGUAGCCUAGUGGUUAGAGCGUUGGACUAGUAACCGAAAGGUUGCUUGAUCGAAUCCCCGAUCUGACAAGGUAAAAUAAAUCUGUCGUUCUGCCCCUGAACAAGGCAGUUAACCCACCGUUCCCCGGUAGGCCGUCAUUGAAAAUAAGAAUUUGAUCUUAACUGACUUGCCUAGUUAAAUUUUAAAAAACGGAAACAAAAGGCUGCAGUUUGGUUUGACAAAAACAAGUGUGUAUUCUUGGGGAAACUCUAUUCAGGCUUGUGUCCUAAAUAGGACUCUGCAUUUUUUGGGGGGGGGCUCUGGUCAAAAGUAGUGCACUUUUAUACGGAAUAGGGUCCCAUUUGGGAAGUAGCAUCAUUCAUACAGUAGUGUUGAUUUUAGGUGGCCUAUUUUAAUGCCUCUCGUUUUUCCAUUCUGUUACAUUGUUCCACCAUUGUCCAGAUCAAACUAUCACAUAUAUACAUGUCUGUUAUACAUCUUUCCUAAUAAUUGAAAGCAAUAGAUGCCUCAAGGAGAACACUGUAAAGCAUUUAUUGCUACCAUCCUCCUGUCUUGAAUACUGUUUAAAAAAAAAAAAUAUUUAAUGUGGCAAUGGUCUGGAUCAGUACAUUUAGAAUGCACAAAAAGAUUAUGCAUGAUUAAGUAAAAGUAAUUCAUUUGUAUUGCAUGCAAUAAUACAACUUUUCAUUUGUGUUGCUCAAUAGAGCCAUGAUACUGAAAUGUUUGCUAUUAGUACGUUGACAUGUCUUGAAUAACAGGGAUUGUUGUUGACAUUACAGGGAACACAAUGUAAACCACUUGUUCUGAUCAAAAUUACUUUUGAUGUUACAAUGUUGAUCAUAGCCUAAAAUCCAGUCGGUGUGAAAUGAUAGCACAACCUGUGGAAUAAUGGCACAAAGACUGUAUUGAUCAACUCGUAACCAACAGAAUGAGUGUACUGUGGUUUAACUAUGCAGUCCAGAGGCCCUGGACAUGCUGGAACCAGCCUCUGUCUUGUAUCAACUGAAGAAUCUGCAAUAAAAAGCAACAUGGUGCCAAUGAA
Long non-coding RNA from Salmo salar (Atlantic salmon), 3565 nucleotides. RefSeq lists it as uncharacterized. Lineage: Eukaryota; Metazoa; Chordata; Actinopteri; Salmoniformes; Salmonidae. The record is from RefSeq and is a predicted model, not a curated record.